RNAcentral lists this ribosomal RNA (396 nucleotides) under uncultured bacterium. RNAcentral describes it as "bacterial SSU rRNA". It matches the Rfam family "Bacterial small subunit ribosomal RNA", at positions 30 to 426 of the family's 1533-position model. The record is from RNAcentral.
AUUGAACGCUGGCGGAAUGCUUUACACAUGCAAGUCGAACGGCAGCACGGAGAGCUUGCUCUCUGGUGGCGAGUGGCGAACGGGUGAGUAAUAUAUCGGAACGUAUCCAAUAAUGGGGGAUAACGAGUCGAAAGAUUCGCUAAUACCGCAUACGCCCUACGGGGAAAGCAGGGGAUCGUAAGACCUUGCGUUAAUGGAGCGGCCGAUAUCUGAUUAGCUUGUUGGUGAGGUAAAGGCUCACCAAGGCGACGAUCAGUAGCUGGUCUGAGAGGACGAUCAGCCACACUGGGACUGAGACACGGCCCAGACUCCUACGGGAGGCAGCAGUGGGAAUUUGGACAAUGGGCGCAAGCCUGAUCCAGCAAUGCCGCGUGCAGGAAGAAGGCCUUCGGUUGU